GCACUGAUAACCAUUUAGUUUUGGUGGAUAUGAAGUUUAAAGGAACUGAUGGCGCCAGAGCUGAGAGAAUCCUAGAACUGAGUGAUAUUACAACCAACAAAAAUACCUGUCCAGGAGACAAGAGUGCUAUGGUACCAGGAGGAAUUAGAUAAGGAACACCAGCAUUAACGUCAAGAGGAUUUAAAGAAGAAGAUUUUGAGUUGGUUGUUGAUUUCUUUGACCAGGCCAUACAGCUGGGGCAAGAAGUAAAGAAGAAGACCA
This is a long non-coding RNA of Octopus bimaculoides (California two-spot octopus), 261 nucleotides long. The record is from RefSeq and is a predicted model, not a curated record. NCBI's taxonomy places the organism in Eukaryota, Metazoa, Mollusca, Cephalopoda, Octopoda, Octopodidae.